GUGAGGAAUAUUGGUCAAUGGGCGCAAGCCUGAACCAGCCAUCCCGCGUGAAGGACGACGGCCCUAUGGGUUGUAAACUUCUUUUGUACGGGAAGCACGUGCGCUAUGUAUAGCGUAUUGACGGUACCGUACGAAUAAGCAUCGGCUAACUCCGUGCCAGCAGCCGCGGUAAUACGGAGGAUGCGAGCGUUAUCCGGAUUCAUUGGGUUUAAAGGGUGCGUAGGCGGCCCGGUAAGUCAGCGGUGAAAGUUUGCGGCUCAACCGUAAAAUUGCCGUUGAUACUGUCGGGCUUGAGUUCAGAUGAAGUGGGCGGAAUGAGUAGUGUAGCGGUGAAAUGCUUAGAUAUUACUCAGAACACCGAUUGCGAAGGCAGCCCACUAAACUGCGACUGACGCUGAUGCACGAAAGCGUGGGGAUCGAACAGGAUUAGAUACCCUAGUAGUCC
This 445-nucleotide ribosomal RNA is filed under the name uncultured bacterium. RNAcentral's name for it is "partial 16S ribosomal RNA". It matches the Rfam family "Bacterial small subunit ribosomal RNA", at positions 354 to 796 of the family's 1533-position model. The record is from RNAcentral.